RNA transcript from Vigna unguiculata (cowpea), 1991 nucleotides. RefSeq lists it as uncharacterized. The record is from RefSeq and is a predicted model, not a curated record. Lineage: Eukaryota; Viridiplantae; Streptophyta; Magnoliopsida; Fabales; Fabaceae.
AUAUUGAUGGAUAAACACCAGAGAACUGUUUGAUGAUGUAUGGAUGUUGUAAUUGGUGAUGAGGAAAACUGUUUGGUGUAUCUGUUACUCUUUGUUUUCAGGGAUUUGAAUUUCUCUCGUUUGUUGUUUUUCGAGUCCGAGUCCGACUAUGGUUCAGUCGUUAACUGCAUUGUGGUAUCCUUGUUUGCUUUGUUCCCCAUCUCAUUUGUGUUCAUUGAAAGCUCACUGCAAAUUCCGUUAGAGCUUUAUAGUCAAUCACAUGUAACAUUCCUCCUGUUAGAGGCCUUGAGCUUUUCUUAAUCACUUUUUUAGUGCUCAUGCUUGAAAUUAUAAGAUUCAUAUCAAUUCAAGCAAUAUAUAAACCUCAGAUUUAAAUAAAAUUAAGAAUAAGAACGAACUGUGUUACUUGGGGGAGAGCGGCAGCCUUGCAGUCCUCAAUUUCGUUAUAGGGGGAGAACGCGGGGAGGGUGUCGGUUUUCAGAGAUCAGAACUAGCUAUUCACUCUUCACGUAUCUGCAGGAUUAAAGUAUUAGUUAUAAUUUCAAGGGACAAAGAGUCAAAGACCUAUCCUCAACUAACUUUUAACAUAUGCCCCCAAGUGAAGAUUUAAUGAACGGUGCUUCAGCGUCAGGUAACUUAAGGGCAGCUUUCUCCCAUUGCGUACAGCAAGUGCGAAGUUAUGAUUAUCAUCACUAUCUUUGCCUCCUGGAGCUGCCUCCGGCCAUGCGGAAAGCUGCAUUUGCAUUCCGUGCCUUGAAUGUUGAAACAGCUAGAGCUAUGGAUAUUGCUUCAGAUCCCAGGAUUGGCCUUAUGCGUCUUGUCUGGUGGCAGGAAGCCAUAGACAAAAUGUUUGCCAAUAAAUUGAUUGAACACCCAACAGCACAGGCGCUGUCAUCUGUGAUAGCUGAGACCAGACUCAGCAAGAUAUGGUUGAAACGAUCCGUUGAGGCUCGGAUCAAUGAUGCAAGAAGAGAGGUUACUGACAUGCCAGAAACUAUUGGAGAGUUGGAGAAAUACGCCGAGGACACUGUCUCAACCAUGCUGUACCUGACACUUCAAGCAGGUGGUAUAAAGUCUACUGCAGCUGAUCAUGCAGCCUCACAUAUCGGCAAGGCCAGUGGCAUUCUCUUGCUCCUCAAAUCACUGCCCUACCAUGCAUCUCGCAACCGACAUUUUUCGUACAUCCCAACUGCAAUAGCAUCCAAGCAUGGGCUAAUAGUUAAGCAAGAAAAUGGGGAAGAGAGGUGGGUGGAUUCUCGUGAGGGUCUUUGUGAUGCCGUUUAUGAUAUGGCAUCAGUGGCCAAUGCACACUUAGAAAAGGCUCGGAAGUUAGCUGCAAGUGUGCCUGCUGAGGCUCUUCCAGUGCUCCUUCCAGCAGUGCCUUCUCAGGUUCUUUUGGAUUCCUUAAGAAAGGUCCAAUUUGAUGUGUUUGAUCCAAGACUCACAGGAGGGGUGCUGGGAAUACCACCUUUGUGGUACCAUCUCAAACUCAAGUGGACUUCAUGGAGAAGGAAAUACUAACCUGACCAAGCUUUAGAAUUAGGGACUAACUCAAAUCUAUUUAAACAUGCAAGAAGAUUGAACUCCUGAUUGUAUUGAGGAAGAUUCGUCAGUUUCUAUCCAUGGAACCUAAAAAAUAGAUUCAAGCAAAGUCUCGUUCCGACAAAAUACAUGCAUCAGCUUAUUUCAUAUCAGUAGUUUGUUAAUUACUCUUCUUUGAUGUUGUUAUGUUAUGUUUACUUAAGAAUGGGAUAAUGGAUAACUAGUGAUACUAGUUGGAAUUUUUAGAGAGAGAAAAAGACCACUGUUUUAGUAGAGAAAGAAAAAGAAAAAUUGAUUUUUUUUGUGUUCGAACUAUUUAUCCAAAAGUAGAAAGAAAGAUAUGGGAGGAGAUUCUUAAAAAAGUGUAUCUAUGUUUGGUGGAUGUGAGUACUCCAAAACUAUGAUAUUCUAAAAAUGCCAAAAAGAAAACCUCCUAUGCUUAAAGAUUA